GUUAAAAAGCUCGUAGUUGGAUUCCUGUCGGAAUUGCUUGGUCCCCACUCUGUGGGCGCAUCUAAGUCGAUUCUGGCAUCCUCCUAUUUUUCGUUUGCUGCACUUAAUUGGGUGGCUUUCGGAGUAGGACUUUUACUUUGAGGAAAUUCGAGUGUUUACGGCAGGCAAUCGCCUUGUAGAUAUUAGCAUGGAAUAAUAAUAUAGGACCUUGGUUCUAUUUUGUUGGUUUCUAGGACUGAGGUAAUGAUUAAUAGGGAUAUUUGGGGGCAUUCGUAUUAACCGGUCAGAGGUGGAAUUCUUGGAUUCGGUUACGACGAACUACUGCGAAAGCAUUUGCCAAGAAUGUUUUCAUUGAUCAAGAACGAAAGUGUGGGGAUCGAAGAUGAUUAGAUACCGUCGUAGUCUACACCAUAAACUAUGCCGACUAGAGAUUGGAGGUUGUCUUCUCAUAACUCCUUCAGCACCUUACGAGAAAUCAAAGUUUUUGGGUUCCGGGGGGAGUAUGGUCGCAAGGCUGGAACUUAAAGGAAUUGACGGAAGGGCACCACCAGGAGUGGAGCCUGCGGCUUAAUUUGACUCAACACGGGAAAACUCACCAGGUCCAGACAUAGUAAGGAUUGACAGAUUGAUAGCUCUUUCUUGAUUCCAUGGGUGGUGGUGCAUGGCCGUUCUUAGUUGGUGGAGUGAUUUGUCUGGUUAAUUCCGUUAACGA
RNAcentral lists this ribosomal RNA (712 nucleotides) under uncultured marine alveolate. RNAcentral describes it as "SSU rRNA". It matches the Rfam family "Eukaryotic small subunit ribosomal RNA", at positions 618 to 1334 of the family's 1831-position model. The record is from RNAcentral.